AAUAAUUACCAGCUUUGUCUACUUUUCUGCUACUUAAAUCUGGCGAUUGGACCAAAAAUUAUAUUCGGAUCAAAAGUUACAGCAGUUUACUUAAACCGCAUCAGCAACAUUUUUUAAAACAUUUUUGCAAGCAACUUCCAUUUUGACCACUAUCGCAACAAGUUAGACAAAAAGUUAGAGCGUUGGGAUAUUCACCUAUUUAUACUUCUCUUGUCAAGGGUGUCGUAAGGAUUGGACCAAAAUGCAGCGGAAGACGAAGCUUAUGACAGAACCACCCACCAAACCAGGACCAAGCAGUGGAGGAAGGAGCAGCAGAGGAGCUAUAAAGAGUCAUGGACUUGGGAGGAGAUCCUGGAUGGGGCAGGACCAUGGCACCAGGUGGGGGAGUACCGGCACCCUAAGGAGGAGCUGGAGGCAGCUAAGGCGGAGCGGCGCCAUUACGAGGUGAUAUACGCAAGAAUGGGCAAGUACGACAGGCAGCCCCCCCAAAAUAUUUGAGGGGGCACACGGGUAGUAUGGCUAAGUCAGGUCGUAGACCUGAGCCAACUCCCCGUGCUUAUUAUGGGGAGCAACGGAUCAUGAAGGCACCGAGCUAUGUGUAAAUAUGCACGGCAGCCAUCAUGCCUCAGCACAGCCCAGUUUGCCCUGUGCCAGCACUCCGCCCAUGCCGGGCUACGGUAACAAUCCAGCCAGAACGGGUUGUGCAGGUUGUGCGCUCUAGACCUCCAGUGUGUAGUCAAGGCCUCGUGUAUCCAGUUCCUGUUCCUCGCACUAGCCUUGAGGUGCGUGUCACUAGUCUGGCGUCUCCAAAGCCAGCCCCACGCAUCAGGUCUCUAGUGCACCUGCCCAGUCCAGUACGUCCUGUUCCUGCUCCUCGCACUAGCCUUGAGGUGCGCGUCCCUAGUCUGGCUCCUCCAAAGCCAGCCUCACGCACCAGGCCUAUAGUGCGCAGUCCCCAUCUAGAGCUUCUGGCAACAGUGCCCCGUCUAGAGCUUCCGGCGACAGUGCCCCGUCUAGAGCUUCCGGCAACAGUGCCCCAUCUAGACCUUCCGGCGACAGUGCCCCGUCC
RNAcentral lists this long non-coding RNA (1069 nucleotides) under Salmo salar (Atlantic salmon). RNAcentral describes it as "lncRNA (ENSSSAG00000101291.1, ENSSSAG00000104082.1, ENSSSAG00020078770.1, ENSSSAG00075027805.1)". Lineage: Eukaryota; Metazoa; Chordata; Actinopteri; Salmoniformes; Salmonidae. The record is from RNAcentral.